Non-coding RNA from Pangasianodon gigas (Mekong giant catfish), 88 nucleotides. The record is from the annotation of a GenBank genome assembly. NCBI's taxonomy places the organism in Eukaryota, Metazoa, Chordata, Actinopteri, Siluriformes, Pangasiidae.
GGUUGGGAAUCAUUGCUGCAUAACUGGGAAUUUGACAAAAAGUCAGAGACUCACAGAAAUGAACACAGCAAGUCAGCUUCAACACUGA